Oncorhynchus tshawytscha (Chinook salmon) is the source of this 2619-nucleotide long non-coding RNA. The record is from Ensembl. Lineage: Eukaryota; Metazoa; Chordata; Actinopteri; Salmoniformes; Salmonidae.
UUUCCCAUACCAACAUGGAUUUAUUAGGACUGUACACGAGACAGACACAUUGUGCCUUUGUCAACAGGUAAAGGGAAACUACACCAUUUUAAUUUCCUUCAGGAUUCUUUAUUGAAGUGUCAGUUUGGUUUUGCUUUGAUUAACAUAGUAAUGGUCAUUUACAGUGAACUUAUUACAAAACAAAACCAACAUAACAGAAAGGGAGAAAAAAAACUCCACGAUUUCAAUGUGGUCACAAACACAAGUCCUGCAGUCAAUCACCUUCAGCAGGGUUUUAAGAAACCUGAGACAUCUGGUUUUCAGGGAUACAGUAUCUUCAACCUAGCUUCUUUUCCCCCUGAAAGCCAAAUGUGGGGCUUUUACACCUGCUACAUUAGGUCAUACAGUCACUAACUGUCUGGUGCUUCCUCUUGCAAGAUUUUAUAGGGUAGCGACUCACUGAGGGGUCUGGCCCUCUUAGACUCCCUGCCUGCUCCUCCCUCUAGCCUGGCUGUAGGCCACUCCUCCACUGUAGGGAACAACACUAGUCUGUCAUAUGAUGACACCAUGCAUUUAGGAUGGACAGAAUCCUUGUCUCCUUCACCCUUGUGCUCACUCCCUCAACCCCUUAUUAAAUUUGAGUCUCCUUUACACAGAGAACCUUAGCUGCUCACCCUGGCGGCCACCCUAUAGGGAUGGCCAAGUUUAUCCGCGGCUAAGUUGAUAUUCCACUAUUUAAAAAAAAAGGUGCUAUAUAGAACCAUAAAUGGUUAUUUGGAUGUCGCCAUAGGAGAACCCUUUGAAGAACCCUUUUUGGUUACAGGAAAGGGUUCUCAUAUGGGGACAGCUGAAGAACCCUUUUUUCUAAGAGUGGAAGGUAGGGAACUUGCUAUAAACUGCCAAUCAGCUCAGAUCUAAGAGCUGAGGCUGUCAUACAGUGUAGUCAAGUUUGUGGUCAUACACACAUCCUUAAAAAUACUGAUAUUUUGACCUGAUGAAGAUGUUCUGGCUUUACCUGAUUACCAAGAGCUGUAGAGCAACAUCCGGGUAGGGAGGAGCCUGCCUGGACAGCACCCAAUCACUAUCUGCUCACUGUUCUGCUAUUGGUGGACGACAACAAGUGAGUUGGCUCAUUCACAUCAUCAGUGCAGAGACUAUCCUCAUCAUCAGUAGGGAGGGUUAGGUGACAAACAGAACUGUGAACACACAAACCAGCACGUCUACUGUACAUUCAAUCACACACACUCCAGGGACCACGCAUGGAUGGACUAGCUAAGGUGUGGCAUCGCAGUGAUGCUAGGCAGGAUGCACAUGUACUGUAGUCCAUUUCAAAUAAACGCAUCACAGCGUAGACAUUUACAUAAUAUAUCAAUAAGUCGACUGUUUCCCUAAAAGGCUUCAAAGCACAUUUGACCCAGGUUGUUGACUGGUCUACUAUGAGCUCUGUAAGAGGUCAUUGUCCAUCUCUGUACAAAAACACAUCCUUCCUAUUUCUCCAGAGGUGGAACAUGUUACUACUCUAAUUGCCCAAUGCUAACAUUAAUACUAUUUCAAAUGGUACAUUCUGACAAAUAUGGCUUAACAGGCUAAAAACCAAAGAUGUUGAAUAUGUUCUGUGAUGUUUUCUACUGAAACAUCGGGAGGGUACUGUAUUGUCCACAUCCUGAACAUGUGAGAAAGCUAUGCUGAAUAGUUUUUAGUGUAAUGAGUGUACAUAUCAUACAGAGCACACACAGAGAGGAGCAGAGCAGGUCUUGCUGCAGAGCCUGUCCACAUAACAGGGUCAUGAUUAGGAUUUUACAUUCACACCUCUCAGCCUCCACUCAUUUUCAACGGUUUCAUACAAACCAUAGGAAUAUAAAAAAUAAGUCGAUAAACACCUUAUUCAUAUAUUCACGUAAUACAUAUUAUGUCUAGGAUCCUAACUGCUGCAAGUUGCUGCGAACGGAACAGACACAAAAAAUAUGUUGAGGUGACCUGCGCUGGAAGCGGCUGAUUUUAUUGCAUUUCAUUGCAAGGUGCGAUCAUCAUGCUCUAUAUAUUUUUGCUCUAUAUAUUUUCAAAAUGCUCUUAUGUUUUCUCUCUUUUUUUCUAUGAUGUAUUACUGCUUGAGCUUCAAAGGGCGCUGGGUGAUGAUGUCAGAGACCUAAGCUUUGGUUACCACGCCACACAUUACAUGGGUCCAAUGACGUUUCACCUACUGGGAACAUCUUCCCUGACCGUAACCUCACCCACCGUCUAACCUGAAAUCGUGACUUUCCAGACAGGGAAAUAUCAUUGGACCUAAAGGAAGAGAAGCACCAUAAGAAGCACCCACCCACUGGGCACAGACGUCACUUCAACGUCUAUUCCACGUUGGUUCAACGUAAUUUCAUUGAACUAAUGUGGAAACAACGUUGAUUCAGCCAGUGCCCAGUGGGUAAGAAGCUACAGCAGCGGGGGGCGGCACAGUACAGCACUGUCCUACAGAGCAGUCAGAUGCAAAAAUAGUCUAGUGUGGUGAGAAGAAGUACAAGACUGGCAUUGACAUUGUUGUGGUCCUCUACACAAUAUGCCUGUGUGUGUGUGUGUGUGUGUGUGUGUGUGUGUGUGUGUGUGUGUGUGUGUGUGUGUGUGUGUGUGUGUGUGUGUGUGUGUGUG